Molecule: ribosomal RNA, 482 nt
Filed under: uncultured bacterium
Lineage: Bacteria
Description: partial 16S ribosomal RNA
Rfam family: Bacterial small subunit ribosomal RNA
Source: RNAcentral
ACGCACGCUGGCGGCGUGCUUCACCCCUGCCAGUCGCACGCUGAAGCUCAGCUUUUGUUGGGUGGAUGAGUGGCGAACGGGUGAGUAACACGUGAGUAACCUGCCUCCUUCUUUGGGAUAACGCCCGGAAACGGGUGCUAAUACUGGAUAUUCACUGGUCUUCGCAUGGGGGUUGGUGGAAAGGGUUUUUCUGGUGGGGGAUGGGCUCGCGGCCUAUCAGCUUGUUGGUGGGGUGAUGGCCUACCAAGGCUUUGACGGGUAGCCGGCCUGAGAGGGUGACCGGUCACAUUGGGACUGAGAUACGGCCCAGACUCCUACGGGAGGCAGCAGUGGGGAAUAUUGCACAAUGGGCGCAAGCCUGAUGCAGCGACGCCGCGUGAGGGAUGGAGGCCUUCGGGUUGUGAACCUCUUUCGCUCAUGAUCAAGCCGCAACAAUGGUUGUGGUGAGGGUAGUGGGUAAAGAAGCGCCGGCUAACUACGUG